RNAcentral lists this long non-coding RNA (301 nucleotides) under Carica papaya (papaya). RNAcentral describes it as "long non-coding RNA (CPAP_LNC003160)". The record is from RNAcentral. Lineage: Eukaryota; Viridiplantae; Streptophyta; Magnoliopsida; Brassicales; Caricaceae.
CAAAUAACCAAGAAGAAGACUGCCUGACCUAAUUAGUAGCCAUCUUUAUAAACGACCUCAAGUUACCCCUCCCUCUACUCUAUCUCCACCUAUAGGAAAAUAUGCCUAACCUUCCCAACUAUGUCAACAUUGUGGUCACAUGCAUGGUGGUCAGCCCUGUCAACAUUUGAAUAACUUCUGCUAUAAGUGUAGAAGCACUCAACACUUUAUGAAAGACUGUCCCCAACGACCGAAAGACAUGGCUAGACUAAUAGCCCAGGGUCGUGUGCACCACCUUGAUGAACUCGGUGCUCUCACCACU